AGAAAAUUUUUAGCUGUGACUUGCAAAUAUAAUAAUGACUUUUACUGCACAAUAUGUAUGUACCUAAUUAUGUAUUUAAUAUUAAUUACUGUAGUAGGUAUAAUAUUAUUAAAGAUCAUAAUGCUCAAAAAUUCCCAACAAGCAUUUCAGCUCAACCACCCAUGUGAACAGAUCAACACAGAAACAAAAAACUUGUAAUUAUACACUAUGUUGAAAGCCACUAUGGGAUCAUAAAUCAUUGAAACCUGUAGAGAGCACAGAAGUAGUAAGAAACAAAUUAUGGAAGGAAAUUUGUGAAGAGCUACAAAGUUAGUAAAUUAAUUAGAAAACAAAAUUUUUAUUUAUGAUUUAAUUCCCCUUUAUGAUGUUGAUACAAUACAGUAAAUGGAAAUAUAUGAGGGAUGAAUUUGUCAAGAAAGGGGAGUAAAAGUGGAUCUGUUACAAUAAAGGAAUGGUUUUAUAUGUGACAUCUUACGGUUUUAGAUGAUAUAAUUUCAUAUAAACCGUAAGUUAAAAAAUAUUUUAAUAUUUAUUGUUUUAUGAAAAAAAAAUCUAAAGAUUAUUUAUAAUAUGUUUAUAAAAUCUUUUAUAGGACUAUAUUUAAUUUAGCUCUGGCAACUCCUAUUGUAUCAACAAACAAAAUUAAGAACAAUGCAAGUGGAAGUGGAAAUGGUUAUAAAAACAUAAAUUAAAUUCUAAGCCUAAAAGUGAAUAUUCAUUUUAGAAAGGUUUAUAUGUGUAAUUAAAAAAUGUUUUUAGAUAAAUCAAAUAAUUUGAGACUCCCCCUCCAGACAUUACUACUGUUGAUGAUAAAUUUGGUAUUUACCUAGUCAGCAUUAUGAAUGAUUUAUCAAACAAAUAAAAAGGAAACUAAGGUGAAUUUAUAGCAAGAGUGUUGAG
This 900-nucleotide long non-coding RNA is filed under the name Cinara cedri. Lineage: Eukaryota; Metazoa; Arthropoda; Insecta; Hemiptera; Aphididae. The record is from RNAcentral.